AGUAGACCGAGCAGCCGCGGGUGCAGUUCCGAAAGGACGCAUGCGAGGAAAGUCCGAGCUCCACAGGGUAGGAUAACGGCUAACGGCCGCCGGGGGCGACCCUAGGGAAAGUGCAACAGAGAUAUACCGCCGCGCCCAGCGCGGCAAGGGUGGAAAGGCGAGGUAAGAGCUCACCAGCGCACGGGGAACCGUGCGGCUCUGCAAACCCUAUCCGGAGCAACACCGCGGAGGGACAGUAGCGCCGGCCCGGCGCGUCCCGGGGAGGUGGCAUUGAGCCGAGGCGGCAACGCCCGGCCAAGAUAGAUGGCUGUUCAAGACAGAACUCGGCUUAUAGGUCUGGUCG
RNAcentral lists this RNase P RNA (343 nucleotides) under chicken gut metagenome. RNAcentral's name for it is "Bacterial RNase P class A". It matches the Rfam family "Bacterial RNase P class A". Rfam says of the family: Ribonuclease P (RNase P) is a ubiquitous endoribonuclease, found in archaea, bacteria and eukarya as well as chloroplasts and mitochondria. The record is from RNAcentral.